UUUCCUUGAUGACGACUGGCGCACGGGUGAGUAACGCGUAUCCAACCUUCCCAUAACUACGGGAUAACCCGUUGAAAGACGGCCUAAUACCGUAUGAUAUCGUUUGCUGACAUCAAAUAACGAUUAAAGGUUUAGCGGUUAUGGAUGGGGAUGCGUCUGAUUAGCUUGUUGGCGGGGUAACGGCCCACCAAGGCGACGAUCAGUAGGGGUUCUGAGAGGAAGGUCCCCCACAUUGGAACUGAGACACGGUCCAAACUCCUACGGGAGGCAGCAUG
RNAcentral lists this ribosomal RNA (275 nucleotides) under uncultured bacterium. RNAcentral's name for it is "partial 16S ribosomal RNA". It matches the Rfam family "Bacterial small subunit ribosomal RNA", at positions 80 to 353 of the family's 1533-position model. The record is from RNAcentral.